RNAcentral lists this non-coding RNA (22 nucleotides) under Arabidopsis thaliana (thale cress). Lineage: Eukaryota; Viridiplantae; Streptophyta; Magnoliopsida; Brassicales; Brassicaceae. The record is from RNAcentral.
UAAGGCGAUUUCGAGGGCCGAU